This 329-nucleotide ribosomal RNA is filed under the name uncultured eukaryote. Its description in RNAcentral is "partial 18S ribosomal RNA". It matches the Rfam family "Eukaryotic small subunit ribosomal RNA", at positions 1470 to 1796 of the family's 1831-position model. The record is from RNAcentral.
CCCUUAGAUGUUCUGGGCCGCACGCGCGCUACACUGAUGCAUUCAACGAGUCUAAAACCUGCUCUGAUAGGGGUGGGUAAUCUUUUGAAUGUGCAUCGUGAUUGGGAUAGAUGAUUGCAAUUUUUCAUCUUCAACGAGGAAUGCCUAGUAAACGCAAGUCAUCAGCUUGCAUUGAUUACGUCCCUGCCCUUUGUACACACCGCCCGUCGCUCCUACCGAUUGAAUGAUCCGAUGAAUAUCAUGGAUUGAGGAUGCAAGCAGGUUCGCCUGUCUUCAUCUUCGAGAAGUGAAGUAAAUCUUAUCAUUUGGAGGAAGGAGAAGUCGUAACA